RNAcentral lists this ribosomal RNA (253 nucleotides) under uncultured bacterium. RNAcentral describes it as "partial 16S ribosomal RNA". It matches the Rfam family "Bacterial small subunit ribosomal RNA", at positions 524 to 776 of the family's 1533-position model. The record is from RNAcentral.
UACGUAGGGCGCAAGCGUUGUCCGGAAUUACUGGGCGUAAAGGGCGCGUAGGCGGCAUGGCAAGUCGGGAGUGAAAGCCCGGGGCUCAACCCCGGAGGGUCUCUCGAAACUGCCGAGCUAGAGUGCGGAAGAGGCAAUCGGAAUUCCCAGUGUAGCGGUGAAAUGCGUAGAUAUCGUGAGGAAUACCAGAGGCGAAGGCGGCUCCCUGGACAAUUGCUGACGCUCAGGCACGAAAGCGUGGGGAGCAAAAGGG